AGACAUUUCGGGGGUCCGGGGCCUGUCGCGACUGCUAAGCGCUCGGCGCCUGGCGCUGGCCAAGGCGUGGCCAACAGUGUUGCAAACAGGAACCCGAGGUUUUCACUUCACUGUUGAAGGAACACGAGGGCAUCUGCUAAAGUUUCAGAUUCCAUUUCUGCUCAGUAUCCAGUAGUGGAUCAUGAAUUUGAUGCAGCGGUGGUAGGCGCUGGAGGGGCAGGCUUGCGAGCUGCAUUUGGCCUUUCUGAGGCAGGGUUUAAUACGGCAUGUGUUACAAAGCUGUUUCCUACCAGGUCACACACUGUUGCAGCGCAGCUAGAAAAUUAUGGCAUGCCGUUUAACAGCACUGAAGAUGGGAAGAUUUAUCAGCAUGCAUUUGGUGGACAGAGCCUCAGGUUUGGAAAGGGCGGGCAGGCCCAUCGGUGCUGCUGUUUGGCUGAUCGGACCGGCCACUCAAUAUUGCACACCUUAUAUGGGAGGGUAAGGCCACCGCCGGUCCACCUGAGACAGGACAUGUA
RNAcentral lists this long non-coding RNA (518 nucleotides) under Pongo abelii (Sumatran orangutan). RNAcentral's name for it is "lincRNA". The record is from RNAcentral. Lineage: Eukaryota; Metazoa; Chordata; Mammalia; Primates; Hominidae.